AGUCAUGUGAUGAACACAGCGAAUUAUUCUUUCACCUUUUACUAAAGAGUACUGUGUGUUCGUCAUUUUAAGCGUCAUACAAUUAUUUUUGGAAGGGUCUCUAUAAAAUAAAAU
This 114-nucleotide small nuclear RNA is filed under the name Cephalotus follicularis. Its description in RNAcentral is "U5 spliceosomal RNA". It matches the Rfam family "U5 spliceosomal RNA". Rfam says of the family: U5 RNA is a component of both types of known spliceosome. The precise function of this molecule is unknown, though it is known that the 5' loop is required for splice site selection and p220 binding, and that both the 3' stem-loop and the Sm site are important for Sm protein binding and cap methylation. Lineage: Eukaryota; Viridiplantae; Streptophyta; Magnoliopsida; Oxalidales; Cephalotaceae. The record is from Rfam by way of RNAcentral.